This 252-nucleotide ribosomal RNA is filed under the name uncultured bacterium. Its description in RNAcentral is "partial 16S ribosomal RNA". It matches the Rfam family "Bacterial small subunit ribosomal RNA", at positions 15 to 263 of the family's 1533-position model. The record is from RNAcentral.
GAUCAUGGCUCAGGAUGAACGCUAGCUACAGGCUUAACACAUGCAAGUCGAGGGGCAGCGGGGAGUAGCAAUACUCCGCCGGCGACCGGCGCACGGGUGCGUAACGCGUAUGCAACCUACCUUUAACAGGGGCAUAACACUGAGAAAUUGGUACUAAUUCCCCAUAACAUUCGAGAAGGCAUCUUCUUGGGUUAAAAACUCCGGUGGUUAAAGAUGGGCAUGCGUUGUAUUAGCUAGUUGGUGAGGUAACGG